GGGGAUGUAAAGGUUUCGACAGGGGUGCGUGUGGUAUAGAUAGCGAGUCGGCGUUCCAUUAGGCCGUUAAACGGUGGGAAAACAUUUAAACGCAGAAGAAAAUUUUGCAUUAGCUGCAUAAGCUACG
RNAcentral lists this transfer-messenger RNA (127 nucleotides) under Veillonella sp. RNAcentral describes it as "partial transfer-messenger RNA". It matches the Rfam family "transfer-messenger RNA", at positions 1 to 132 of the family's 374-position model. Rfam says of the family: Bacterial tmRNA, also known as 10Sa RNA or SsrA, is named for its dual tRNA and mRNA-like properties. Its role is to liberate the mRNA from a stalled ribosome. Lineage: Bacteria; Bacillati; Bacillota; Negativicutes; Veillonellales; Veillonellaceae. The record is from RNAcentral.